GGUUUUGUGGAGCGUACCAGGGUAAUUCCUCUUGCAUAUAUAAAAGAAAUGACAUCAAUGUUGACAUACCCAACUCCAAUAAUUCCUAAGGAGUUGGGAUCAGCUACAACAUCCUUUUCCUCCAUCAACUUUUUUAAGGCUCAAGUUUCUAUUGGAACUAGUCUAGAUACAAAAUUUAUUUAUUUGUAUGUCCAGGUCUUGGUGUGUUUUUUCAUAUCUAGAAGCUGUAGGACACAAGUGAAUAUAUCUUAUCAUAUUAGUUGUUGAUAAUAAAAUGAGAGGAAUGAAGUAAAUGCAGAUCAAUUCCAUUUGGCUGUAAUUUCUUGCACAUGGCAGUGGCAGAUGAAAACCAGCAUGACAACUUUCAAUCAAAUGAAACAGCACUUCAUAUAGGAAAAUUACAUUAUAUAAGAACUGAAUGACAAUGACUUUACAAGCACUAGGAGUUAUUAUUUCUGGAUGAUAGAGUAAUUCAAAGACCGGUAAAAUAAUUGGAUGGAUUUGCUCACAUUAAUCUCGGUUUGUUGCAUUUGAUAUAUUUGUUGCAUUUGAUAUAUCUGAUGUAGCAAGGUAAUCACACGGCUUGUACCGUCACUGACAUCAUUUUUGUUCUUCAGCAGCAGAUGUCAUGCUUUAUUUUCUUGUUAAAUUUCCCUGAGAAUUUAGAUUACAUCUUUCAGGGCCAUUUUGGUUUUUACAAUUCUGAAUUAGCUUCAUGAUUUACUGAUCAUCUGUAUGCAAUAUGUUUCAUUUCUUUCAGGUUAUGGUUUCCAUGAGGAUGGA
Molecule: unclassified non-coding RNA, 783 nt
Filed under: Hevea brasiliensis (rubber tree)
Lineage: Eukaryota; Viridiplantae; Streptophyta; Magnoliopsida; Malpighiales; Euphorbiaceae
Source: RNAcentral